GAUGAACGCUGGCGGCGUGCCUAAUACAUGCAAGUCGAGCGAACGGACGAGAAGCUUGCUUCUCUGAUGUUAGCGGCGGACGGGUUAGUAACACGUGGAUAACCUACCUAUAAGACUGGGAUAACUUCGGGAAACCGGAGCUAAUACCGGAUAAUAUUUUGAACCGCAUGGUUCAAAAGUUAAAGACGGUCUUUCUGUCACUUAUAGAUUGAUCCGCGCUGCAUUAGCUAGUUGGUAAGGUAACGGCUUACCAAGGCAACGAUGCAUAGCCGACCUGAGAGGGUGAUCGGCCAAACUGGAACUGAGACAAGGUCCAGACUACUACGGGAGGCAGCAGUAGGGAAUCUGCCGCAAUGGGCGAAAGCCUGACGGAGCAACGCCGCGUGAGUGAUGAAGGUCUUCGGAUCGUAAAACUCUGUUAUUAGGGAAGAACAUAUGUGUAAGUAACUGUGCACAUCUUGACGGUACCUAAUCAGAAAGCCACGGCUAACUACGUG
RNAcentral lists this ribosomal RNA (497 nucleotides) under uncultured bacterium. RNAcentral's name for it is "partial 16S ribosomal RNA". It matches the Rfam family "Bacterial small subunit ribosomal RNA", at positions 28 to 507 of the family's 1533-position model. The record is from RNAcentral.